CCUACGGGUGGCAGCAGUGGGGAAUCUUGCGCAAUGGGCGAAAGCCUGACGCAGCGACGCCGCGUGAAGGAAGAAGGGUUUCGGCUCGUAAACUUCUAUCAACAGGGACGAAAGAAAUGACGGUACCUGAAUAAGAAGCCCCGGCUAACUACGUGCCAGCAGCCGCGGUAAUACGUAGGGGGCAAGCGUUAUCCGGAAGUACUGGGUGUAAAGGGUGAGUAGGCGGCAUGUUAAGCCAGAUGUGAAAGCCUUGGGCUUAACCCGAGGAUUGCAUUUGGAACUAGCAAGCUAGAGUUCAGGAGAGGAAAGCGGAAGUCCUAGUGUAGCGGUGAAAUGCGGAGAUAUUAGGAAGAACACCAGUGGCGAAGGCGGCUUUCUGGACUGAAACUGACGCGGAGGCACGAAAGCGUGGGGAGCGAACAGGAUUAGAUACCCGGGUAGUC
Molecule: ribosomal RNA, 443 nt
Filed under: uncultured bacterium
Lineage: Bacteria
Description: partial 16S ribosomal RNA
Rfam family: Bacterial small subunit ribosomal RNA
Source: RNAcentral